GAUGAACGCUAGCUACAGGCUUAACACAUGCAAGUCGAGGGGAAACGACAUCGAAAGCUUGCUUUUGAUGGGCGUCGACCGGCGCACGGGUGAGUAACGCGUAUCCAACCUGCCCACCACUUGGGGAUAACCUUGCGAAAGUAAGACUAAUACCCAAUGAUAUCUCUAGAAGACAUCUGAAAGAGAUUAAAGAUUUAUCGGUGAUGGAUGGGGAUGCGUCUGAUUAGCUUGUUGGCGGGGUAACGGUCCACCAAGGCGACGAUCAGUAGGGGUUCUGAGAGGAAGGUCCCCCACAUUGGAACUGAGACACGGUCCAAACUCCUACGGGAGGCAGCAGUGAGGAAUAUUGGUCAAUGGGCGAGAGCCUGAACCAGCCAAGUAGCGUGCAGGAUGACGGCCCUAUGGGUUGUAAACUGCUUUUAUAGGGGAAUAAAGUGAGCUACGUGUAGUUUUUUGCAUGUACCCUAUGAAUAAGGACCGGCUAAUUCCGUGCCAGCAGCCGCAGUAA
This 508-nucleotide ribosomal RNA is filed under the name uncultured bacterium. Its description in RNAcentral is "partial 16S ribosomal RNA". It matches the Rfam family "Bacterial small subunit ribosomal RNA", at positions 28 to 523 of the family's 1533-position model. The record is from RNAcentral.